This 484-nucleotide ribosomal RNA is filed under the name uncultured bacterium. RNAcentral's name for it is "partial 16S ribosomal RNA". It matches the Rfam family "Bacterial small subunit ribosomal RNA", at positions 30 to 507 of the family's 1533-position model. The record is from RNAcentral.
AUUGAACGCUGGCGGCAGGCCUAACACAUGCAAGUCGAGCGGAUGCAGGGAGCUUGCUCCUGGAUUCAGCGGCGGACGGGUGGGUAAUGCCUAGGAAUCUGCCUGGUAGCGGGGGAUAACGUCCGGACACGGGCGCUAAUACCGCAUACGUCCUGAGGGAGAAAGUGGGGGAUCUUCGGACCUCACGCUCUCAGAUGAGCCUAGGUCGGAUUAGCUAGUUGGCGGGGUAAAGGCCUACCAAGGCGACGAUCCGUAACUGGUCUGAGAGGAUGAUCAGUCACACUGGAACUGAGACACGGUCCAGACUCCUACGGGAGGCAGCAGUGGGGAAUAUUGGACAAUGGGCGAAAGCCUGAUCCAGCCAUGCCGCGUGUGUGAAGAAGGUCUUCGGAUUGUAAAGCACUUUAAGUUGGGAGGAAGGGCAGUAAGUUAAUACCUUGCUGUUUUGACGUUACCAACAGAAUAAGCACCGGCUAACUUCGUG